AAGCUGAGCCACUAGAACAGAAAGCUAAAGGAGCUCUUGAGAGACAAAAGAGUACUCAUGAAGCUGAGGCUGAGAAAUCUCGCAAGGAUCUACUUGAACUUCAAGCUAACAGUGCUGCUGUUGAAUCCACCGGACAGGCUAAGGCAGAGGCUCAGUCUCGGGCUGAGGCAGCCAAAUUGAAGGAGAAGCAGCUGUAGAACAAGCCAGGUAUAAAGCACAAGCAUCUAGAAUUGAAGCCGAAUCAGAACUUGAGAGGCUGACGAGGGCAAGAGAGGCCGAGUUAAAGUACAUCAAGGAACAGAACGAGUUGGAGAUUGAGAAAUCUCGUGAGCUCUCAGACAUAGAGACUGUUAAAUUUAAGAGUAUGGUGGACUCCAUUGGAGCUGACACUAUAGCAGCAAUUCUUACUGCUGGACCAGAGAUGCAGGUGAAAAUCUACAAGCCCUUGGUGUGAAAUCCACACUGAUUACUAAUGGCAGUAAUCCUAUCAACCUUUUCAAUAUGGCUCACGGUUUAGUUGAGGCCAUCCAGAGCACCCCUAGCAACAUUGAGGAGGUGACAGAAGAUUGAUAAGAAACUAAAGAAAGACUUUAUUAUUAUAACUUUUUAUUGUUAUUAUUAUUAUUAGUUUGCUCUCCUUAUAUUGAACUAUUAUUAUUGCAAUUUUGUAGGCAAUUGUUUUAGCCCAUUUUGUAGUGAAAAAGAGAUUUGUUA
Molecule: long non-coding RNA, 714 nt
Organism: Amphimedon queenslandica
Lineage: Eukaryota; Metazoa; Porifera; Demospongiae; Haplosclerida; Niphatidae
Exons: 4
Source: RefSeq, a predicted model, not a curated record